ACAUACGACCACAGACUGAGGAGAAUUGGGCAUCCCGUCCGCUCUGCCAUACACAAGCCUCAGAUCGGUAGAUUAGUAGUUGGGUGGGUGACCACCAGCGAAUCCCUGCUGUUGUAUGUC
Molecule: ribosomal RNA, 120 nt
Filed under: Sclerotinia sclerotiorum 1980 UF-70
Lineage: Eukaryota; Fungi; Ascomycota; Leotiomycetes; Helotiales; Sclerotiniaceae
Source: RNAcentral